This 2204-nucleotide long non-coding RNA is filed under the name Amborella trichopoda. RNAcentral describes it as "long non-coding RNA (ATRI_LNC004224)". The record is from RNAcentral. Lineage: Eukaryota; Viridiplantae; Streptophyta; Magnoliopsida; Amborellales; Amborellaceae.
UCUCUCUCUCUCUCUCUCUCUCUCUCUCUCUCUCUCUUUCUCUUAAUUUUACACAAAUAAAAAAAAAUAUUUUUCUCUCUCGUUCUCUCUAUUCUUCCUUGUUAGGGCACUUUUUAGCUCCAGUUCUCUCAUCUGUUUUGAUUUUUGUUCUUUUUCUCUUUGGGAUUCACAGGGUGGGUUGCUUGAUUUAUUGAGGAAUUGUAUCUAAUGUGACCCAUUUUACCCUUUAUCCGAUUAUCUCCUCGCUAUUUCUUUUGACAUUUCCUCUCCCUUGUUUUGAGUGCUUUUAGGGACUAAGGAUUGGGUUCUUGGUAGGGUUGAGUAAUUAUGCAUGUUUGAAAACGAGUGCUUUUAGCGAGUAAGGAUUGGGUUCUUGGUAGGGUUGAGUAAUUAUGCAUGUUUGAAAACGAUUGCAAUUUGGAUUUAUGGGAUUAUUCUUGCUAUCCUAUUUUUCUUUUGGGACUUUCUCUUGAGACUUUCUAUUUCUACCUCUCUUAGUUUUCUCCUCUUUUCUGGAAAUUAAGGGAUAUGGUUGCUGGAGCACUUGAAUAGUUGCAUCUUUUGUGAAAAGACUGUGAUUUCAAUUUAUGAGGUUAUGGUGAUACGCCUAGCAUUUGGAGUAGUGUUUAUGGUGUCAUGGUCAUGGGUUGACAUUUGAAGUUCUGUGGCAUCUAUUUGACAAACUCUUUGAGAUGUUUACUAGGACUUGAUCAAUGGAGAUAAGGCAUUCCAUUGAUUUUAUUAUCAUUAUGAGUAAUUUUGGUUCAGGUUUUUGUAUUUUAUAGGUUUUCUUUAAGCAAUCAUCUUAGCUGGAGAUGAAAUGCUGUUAGGAUUUCUGGGGAGUUUUCACAUUACCACGACUGCUGUUUAUGUUCUAGUGACUUACAUUGCCAAAUUUAUGUGUCAUGUGAUAUCAUGUAGCGGAGAGAGUGAAUCAUCUGUUGUGGCAUCAUAAGUUCACAUGGAAAAUUUGGAGCUUUUUUUUUGCAAAUGUUUGAUUUUGACAUAUUGGAUGGUGUUGGCUUCACUUGCUGCCAGUGACUUAAAACCCAGACUCAGUUUGGGACUCGCUGCGGUCUUGAGACUUGCCCAAGUCUCAAUUCAAGUCAUGGAGUUUUAAAGCAUUGCUUGCAACAUUCAUCACUAACUAGUCAUCAGGCCCACUGCAUGAGAGAGUUUGCUUUCCAUGGAAAAUAUGUUUGCUUGGCUGUCUUAUGGUGUCUACAGUGAGGAACCCUUUGACUCAUGGAGGAUAUUACUUGCAUCGGGAAAACCUGUCUGUUUGCAUUAUAGUAUUCAUCAUCUCUUGGGUGCUAUCAAUUAGAAAUUUCAUGGUUCAAGGAUAAAUGACUUGGUUCACUAUUUAAGAGAGAUUAUACAUGGAAGCUAUAAGACCCAAGAUUGAGCACAAUGAAACCCAACUUCUAUUGCAGCUCUUGGGGUCCCCUGGGCCGUCAGCAGUGUUGUUACGCAAAUACACGCUCAAACCUAGAAUGGCUGGUACCUAGUUGCCUUCACUCCAUAUGAGGGCUUAUACCCCUUUGGUUUUCUUCUCAAGUCCUUUUGGGGCUUUUGAUAGCAGGACUGGAUGCGUGAGCUAAUUUACAGAAGUGCCACAUGGAGACUAGAAGUCAUUUAAGAUGAGAUUUUCCAAUUGUGAGGCUUAUUGAUGUGCUACUUUUUGCAUGUUCCUAGUUGCCUAUGAGUUGGUUGGUUUUUUUUCAUAGGGAAGGUUAUCUGCAUUCAAUGUAUGAUUUUGUUUAAGGGAAUCUAUCCUGGCCGUUGUUAUAAUUGAGCUACACCCUUGUGUAGUCUCACAAUGUAUGCUGUAUUUUGAGAAUAGAUAAAUGUACCGAGAAAAAGGAGCUAGAAACGUUGGUAUCUCGUCAUAAAAUUCUGUGAAUACAACCACAUAUGCCUGAAUUUGGUGGGGACUGGUGAUCGGAUAUGUGAAUAACAAAGAGAAAACUUGUGGGAACUUUCUUGCUGGGUUGCUGCACUAGAACCCUACUAGUUGCUUAACUAGAACCCUACUAGUUGCUUACUUUUUUUUGGCCUUCUGCUACAUAUCAGUUUAUGAGGACAAUAAUUUUUUUGCCCCUUUUGGGCUGCAUAAACCUGCCAAGUAGUUCUUCAGUUUUAUUGGCAAUUUGAGCAUCAAUGUUAAAAAAUGCGGAGGCGGGCUCCCAGAAACAACUUCGCGG